CCUACGGGGGGCUGCAGUGGGGAAUAUUGGACAAUGGGCGCAAGCCUGAUCCAGCCAUGCCGCGUGAGUGAUGAAGGCCUUAGGGUUGUAAAGCUCUUUCGUCAGGGAAGAUAAUGACGGUACCUGAAGAAGAAGCCCCGGCUAACUUCGUGCCAGCAGCCGCGGUAAUACGAAGGGGGCUAGCGUUGCUCGGAAUCACUGGGCGUAAAGCGCACGUAGGCGGCUUUCUAAGUCAGGGGUGAAAUCCUGGAGCUCAACUCCAGAACUGCCUUUGAUACUGGAAAGCUUGAGUUCGGGAGAGGUGAGUGGAACUGCGAGUGUAGAGGUGAAAUUCGUAGAUAUUCGCAAGAACACCAGUGGCGAAGGCGGCUCACUGGCCCGAUACUGACGCUGAGGUGCGAAAGCGUGGGGAGCAAACAGGAUUAGAUACCCCUGUAGUC
This 440-nucleotide ribosomal RNA is filed under the name uncultured bacterium. RNAcentral describes it as "partial 16S ribosomal RNA". It matches the Rfam family "Bacterial small subunit ribosomal RNA", at positions 338 to 795 of the family's 1533-position model. The record is from RNAcentral.